AAACGGGUGGAUCCGCAAAGUCGGCCCACGGAAUUCAGCUCGGCGAGCGGCCUGGGACAGCUGCGGUUCGGGAUCCCUGGGACCCGUCCGCUGGCGUCGUGCCGGGCUCCGCCGAGUGCACUUUCCGUGGGCAGAGCGCCACAACCGGUUUCGCGGGCGGCGAGAAGCCGGGCGGGAAGGUAGGUCUGGGCGGAAACGUUCAGACUGUUACAGCCCGCUCAGGCGCGCCGCUCCGGGAUCGAGGGACUACCGUUCGCUUCGAGGCUACCCGGCCUUCCGGGGGAGUUCGACUGGGAGAGACUGGGCAACCGUKCUUCCGACCGCUCUCCCGCGACUGGUCCGGGGUAGCCGGGCGAGCUGGCUGGGUUG
Molecule: ribosomal RNA, 369 nt
Filed under: Sarasinula plebeia
Lineage: Eukaryota; Metazoa; Mollusca; Gastropoda; Systellommatophora; Veronicellidae
Description: partial 28S ribosomal RNA
Source: RNAcentral